Molecule: ribosomal RNA, 252 nt
Filed under: uncultured bacterium
Lineage: Bacteria
Description: partial 16S ribosomal RNA
Rfam family: Bacterial small subunit ribosomal RNA
Source: RNAcentral
UACGUAGGUCCCGAGCGUUGUCCGGAUUUAUUGGGCGUAAAGCGAGCGCAGGUGGUUUAUUAAGUCUGGUGUAAAAGGCAGUGGCUCAACCAUUGUAUGCAUUGGAAACUGGUAGACUUGAGUGCAGGCGAGGAGAGUGGAAUUCCAUGUGUAGCGGUGAAAUGCGUAGAUAUAUGGAGGAACACCGGUGGCGAAAGCGGCUCUCUGGCCUGUAACUGACACUGAGGCUCGAAAGCGUGGGGAGCAAACAGG